CUGGACUGAGCCGUGCUACUGG
RNAcentral lists this microRNA (22 nucleotides) under Homo sapiens (human). RNAcentral describes it as "hsa-miR-1269a". Lineage: Eukaryota; Metazoa; Chordata; Mammalia; Primates; Hominidae. The record is from miRBase by way of RNAcentral.